UACAGAGGGUGCGAGCGUUGUCCGGAAUCACUGGGCGUAAAGGGCGCGUAGGCGGCCAUACAGGUCAGCUGUGAAAACUCGAGGCUCAACCUCGAGACGUCGGUUGAAACCGUUUGGCUAGAGUCCGGAAGAGGAGAGUGGAAUUCCCGGUGUAGCGGUGAAAUGCGCAGAUAUCGGGAAGAACACCCGUGGCGAAGGCGGGUCUCUGGGCCGAUAUCGACGCUGAGGAGCGAAAGCGUGGGGAGCGAACAGG
This 253-nucleotide ribosomal RNA is filed under the name uncultured bacterium. RNAcentral's name for it is "partial 16S ribosomal RNA". It matches the Rfam family "Bacterial small subunit ribosomal RNA", at positions 524 to 776 of the family's 1533-position model. The record is from RNAcentral.